Molecule: ribosomal RNA, 531 nt
Filed under: Cryptosporidium sp. CrIT-20
Lineage: Eukaryota; Apicomplexa; Conoidasida; Eucoccidiorida; Cryptosporidiidae
Description: SSU rRNA
Rfam family: Eukaryotic small subunit ribosomal RNA
Source: RNAcentral
GUAUUGGCCUACCGUGGCUAUGACGGGUAACGGGGAAUUAGGGUUCGAUUCCGGAGAGGGAGCCUGAGAAACGGCUACCACAUCUAAGGAAGGCAGCAGGCGCGCAAAUUACCCAAUCCUAAUACAGGGAGGUAGUGACAAGAAAUAACAAUACAGGGCCUAACGGUCUUGUAAUUGGAAUGAGUUAAGUAUAAACCCCUUUACAAGUAUCAAUUGGAGGGCAAGUCUGGUGCCAGCAGCCGCGGUAAUUCCAGCUCCAAUAGCGUAUAUUAAAGUUGUUGCAGUUAAAAAGCUCGUAGUUGGAUUUCUGUUAAUUCUUAUAUUUUAUACUACGGUAUUUAUAUAACAUUAACAUAAUUCAUAUUACUUUUUUAGUAUAUGAAAUUUUACUUUGAGAAAAUUAGAGUGCUUAAAGCAGGCAUUUGCCUUGAAUACUCCAGCAUGGAAUAAUAUUUAAGAUUUUUAUCUUUCUUAUUGGUUCUAAGAUAAAAAUAAUGAUUAAUAGGGACAGUUGGGGGCAUUUGUAUUUAA